RNAcentral lists this ribosomal RNA (466 nucleotides) under uncultured bacterium. RNAcentral describes it as "bacterial SSU rRNA". It matches the Rfam family "Bacterial small subunit ribosomal RNA", at positions 338 to 795 of the family's 1533-position model. The record is from RNAcentral.
CCUACGGGGUGCACCAGUGGGGAAUCUUGCGCAAUGGGCGAAAGUCUGACGGAGCAACGCCGCGUGAGUGAUGAAGGCUUUCGGGUCGUAAAACUCUGUUGUUAGGGAAGAACAAGUGCUAGUUGAAUAAGCUGGCACCUUGACGGUACCUAACCAGAAAGCCACGGCUAACUACGUGCCUGCAGCCGAGGUAAUACGUAGGUGGCAAGCGUUAUCCGGAAUUAUUGGGCGUAAAGCGCGCGCAGGUGGUUUCUUAAGUCUGAUGUGAAAGCCCACGGCUCAACCGUGGAGGGUCAUUGGAAACUGGGAGACUUGAGUGCAGAAGAGGAAAGUGGAAUUCCAUGUGUAGCGGUGAAAUGCGUAGAGAUAUGGAGGAACACCAGUGGCGAAGGCGACUUUCUGGUCUGUAACUGACACUGAGGCGCGAAAGCGCGGGGAGCAAACAGGAUUAGAUACCCGGGUAGUC